Molecule: long non-coding RNA, 540 nt
Filed under: Pan troglodytes (chimpanzee)
Lineage: Eukaryota; Metazoa; Chordata; Mammalia; Primates; Hominidae
Description: long non-coding RNA NONPTRT005541
Source: RNAcentral
GGUGGUGACGGCGGUGCCGGAGGUUGUCCUUGGCAGGUUUUCCUCGGCGCUUUUCCAUGGAGGAGGCGGUGCGAACGGCUUCAGCCCCGAAUGCUCGCAUCUCCCACUGGACGGCGACGAAGGCGGUGGCCGUGCGAGCGCAGGACUGGGCGGCCUGUGUGGGGGUGUGAGCCGCGGUGCCCCAGGCUGCGCCGGCGAGGGGAAGCCGCGCGGCCGGCCGGCCGACUAGGGUUUGAAGACUGCUUCAUUCUGCCUCUAGUACCAGCGGUUUCUCUGUUCUGUGAUCAAUGUGAUUCACAGGAACUCCUUAAGUAACAAACGAAAUGAGCCAGGGGCGUGGAAAAUAUGACUUCUAUAUUGGUCUGGGAUUGGCUAUGAGCUCCAGCAUUUUCAUUGGAGGAAGUUUCAUUUUGAAAAAAAAAGGCCUCCUUCGACUUGCCAGGAAAGGCUCUAUGAGAGCAGGUCAAGGUGGCCAUGCAUAUCUUAAGGAAUGGUUGUGGUGGGCUGGACUGCUGUCAAUGAAUUAGUGCAGUUCAAAAC